Molecule: ribosomal RNA, 466 nt
Filed under: uncultured bacterium
Lineage: Bacteria
Description: partial 16S ribosomal RNA
Rfam family: Bacterial small subunit ribosomal RNA
Source: RNAcentral
GACGAACGCUGGCGGCGUGCUUAACACACGCAAGUCGAACGGAAAGGCCCUGCUUUUGUGGGGUGCUCGAGUGGCGAACGGGUGAGUAACACGUGAGUAACCUGCCCUUGACUUUGGGAUAACUUCAGGAAACUGGGGCUAAUACCGGAUAGGAGCUCCUGCUGCAUGGUGGGGGUUGGAAAGUUUCGGCGGUUGGGGAUGGACUCGCGGCUUAUCAGCUUGUUGGUGGGGUAGUGGCUUACCAAGGCUUUGACGGGUAGCCGGCCCGAGAGGGAGACCAGCAACAUGGAAGCUAAGAUGCGACCCAGACUGCUGGGGGAGGCCGCAGCGGGGAUUAAUGCAAAACGGGAGGAAUCCUAAAGAAAGAACCCGAAGGGCGGGAAGGGGGCCUUGGGGUUGUAACACGUUUCCGAGUGGAACGAAGUGUAGGGGGCAGUAAGGGAGAAGGAAGGCCCGCGGAAGUCCG